Molecule: non-coding RNA, 2876 nt
Organism: Meleagris gallopavo (turkey)
Lineage: Eukaryota; Metazoa; Chordata; Aves; Galliformes; Phasianidae
Source: RefSeq, a predicted model, not a curated record
UGUUGCUGAAAUUGCUGUCUUGCAUCCGCAGCUGAGCCACGCUGACAAAGGCUGAGAGCAAAAAGCAGUGAGAGGAAAGCGCUGGGCUGUGAAAUGGAUGGAUGCUUCAGAGAGGAGCAUGGCUUGGGAUAAUCAACAGGUGCUGGGACUGCCAUCCUGUGGUUCGGCUCCAAGGCUGUGCGUGGGGACGUGGCUGAAGCACAACUCCCAGUGCUGGCGUGGAACGCAGCGUGUAACGUGGGAUGCGUGCCUUUGCUUCCAUGUUGGAUUUUAGCUGUGGGAGUUUGGUGCAUCUCGGCAGCAGCGUUCUUUCUUUAGCACUUUAGCUGGAGAGGAAGCAAAGCGAUGAGGAGAUUUGUUUACUGCAAGGUGGUGCUGGCCACUUCUCUCAUGUGGGUGCUUGUGGAUGUCUUCUUACUUCUGUACUUCAGUGAAUGUAAUAAAUGUGAUGACAAGAAGGAGAGGUCCCUGCUGCCUGCUCUGAGGGCUGUCAUUUCCAGAAACCAGGAAGGACCCGGUGAGAUGGGGAAGGCGGUGCUCAUCCCAAAAGACGACCAGGAGAAGAUGAAAGAGCUGUUUAAAAUCAACCAGUUUAACCUUAUGGCCAGUGACCUGAUUGCUCUGAACAGAAGCUUGCCAGACGUGAGGCUGGAUGGGUGAGUGGUACUCGGGGCUCUGCUGCAGGUGAAUGGGGCUCUGGCUGCAGUGCAUCGUGGGCUGGCUGCGGGCAAAUCCUCCUUGGCUCCGGGUGCGUUGCUGGGCUCUGGGUGCAGCCUGCUUAUCUGGAGCUUACCAGCUCUAGAUUUGGCUUCUUGUAAUACACGCUGAGGCAAAGAGUUAGUGCAUCACAGAUGUGCAGUUUAUUUUGUGAACUGAUGAAAAUUUCCAACUUUCAGUAUGUUGCACUGUGGCACGUAACGCAAUGCUGUCUGGUUUGUCAUGUUGCCUGCACUACUUUGUUAUUACUUUUUUUCUCCUGGAAAACUUUAAGCUUUUAAAGUGAUUAAAAAAACUCCCACCGUUGUUGACUUCAUAGCUUUUUGUAAUUAAGUUAUUGGCAUUGAAAAGUUGACGUGUUAAUUCUGACAGGAAGACAGCACUACCAGUGCCAGAAGUUGUCCUGCACAGUGUAACCUCCUAUUGGUUCCACCUGUAGGCUUUUCUGGGAUAAUCCUAUUUUAAAGAAUCUUUUUCAGAACACUUUGCACUUGUUUAAAUCUGAAGACUUUAAAGUCUGUUUAUUCAUUUAAAUCUGAUAACUUCUGAUAGCCUGUUAUGUGACUGCUGCUGGCUCCCCACCUUCUGGGCAUCUGCCAUUCCUGGAGGGAUGCUCGGAGGUGACCUCUCCACAUAACUCCCAUUUUUGGCAGUUCUGCCCUGCCUGGUUGCACAGCUACUUAAACCAGAGUGGUUUGGUGCAGUUACAGGCUGUGGCACUGAAUACUGAUGCCUGUUGCUGAAUUGCUGACAUCCAUACCAUACCUUCUUUUGACUAGGCUUGAUAGCAGCAAUAUGCAGAAACCCAGCUGCUAAAGGCACUGAUGUGUUUUCAGUGUGAUGGGAAUGGAAAAAUCAGAGGCUCCACACAGCAGCUGCUCUCUGAGCAGGUGAGCAAGGCAGUGAAUAGUGAUCUGUCGUCAGGCACCUGUGCUGGCAGCUGGGUGGGCACUGACUGUGCUGCCCUCCUCUCAUCUCCCAGCUCUGCAGUGCUGGUGAGGUUCUGCCUGCACUCAGAGUUCCUUAGGGUGGGCUCAGCAAUGGAUUGAUGCACCUGAGCGUCGGCAGAUUUAGGAGAACUGUAAGGCAGAGCUAUAGAUCAGAAAAACCCCAAAUGUUUCCCGUUUUUGCACAGCACUUUAAGGGUCACAGAAUCACAGAAUGGCCAGGGUUGGAAGGGACCUCAAGGAUCAUGAAGCUCCAACCCCCUGCCACAAGCAGGGCCACCAACUUCCACAUUUAAUACCAAACCAGGCUGCCCAGGGCUCCAAGGAUGAUUUUGUAUCCUAGCAUUAUAAUUGCUGCAGCUUGCAAGAAAUGCAAAUGUAGAAAAAUGUGAGCUGAUCUAAAUGUAGGCAAGUUGCCAGAUAUUCUAAAAUUUCCCAUUUCUUUUACUUUUUAAACAGAGUUGUCACUUAGCUGAAAUCUUGCUAAGAUUUCUUUCCAAUUAGAUUCUUCAGGUCCCUAUGAAAUUUUAAAUCAAAUAAACACUACCUCCCUCCCAUGCAUUUUAUUUGUGUCUGUAAAUAGCAUAAUUGUUCCUUAAAAACCACACCUAGUUCACAAGCAACGUGAGCGAUGCUUCUCCAGUGCAUGACCAUUUGUAAUCUGGUGAUGCUCGUUUUCAGUAGAACAGCACCUAAUGUUACUGCCAGCAGAGAUGCACUCUGUGCAGCAGAAGCACCAGGAAAGCUUUACUGCUUAUCGCUGCUUUGCUCCCUGUUGCCUGCGCUUCCCUGUGCAGGAAGAAGGAGCCAAGAAGGCACUGCUUGGUCAGCUUCAAAAGCUCCGUCCUCCCCCUGUGAGUGAUAGUUGAAAAGAAAAGGAAUAAUGAGCAAAUAGGUAAAGUUUUCAUAUCAGUGAAUGGCUGUGCUUGGUGUAAGGGAGAUGAGCUAUGUAGUGCUGAGAUAAAUCUGCCUGCGUGCGUUUCUUUUGUGAGAAAAGCUUUCACACUCUAUCUGCAUUGAAAAGACAAAGUAUUUGGGGAUUUCAAAAAAAAAAAGCAUCUUUUUGUUUUUCUCUUCUGAGAUGCUUUCAUUACGUGUCCUGUCUUUAAGGAGGAUUAAACUGUUCCAAAUGCCUACUUACGAUGCUUUGCUCUUAGGGAAGAAUACAGUUUUUCAAGGCCAGGCUGGAUGUGGCUCUGGGCAGCCUGGGCU